CACAGGCACGCCUGGGCCUCUUCACCGUUUUCGACCUCCCCUGGCUCGUGUGGGCAUAAAUAAGUGGAGAAAUGCAUGAAAUACAUGCUUCUAGGGUCAAGAAUAAACUAUGUAUUUGUGUCUUUGUCGGAAAGGCUCCCAUGGGGCAAUCCUCCUAAGCACUGGGAUUGCCUGCUUGGCAGCAAGGAGGCUUAUAAAAAGCAACUCCAGGUGGAAGUGGGCCUUUUCCUGCUCCUCCCUCCACACUGCUGCAAUUCCCUGUCGUCGAGGCCCUGAGAACAGCCUGCCUUUGAGACUGAGCUGCAAGUGUAAGAAAGGGGUGGCCGCUCGACCGAGAUGCAAUACCUACCUUCAUUUACGUUGAAUCGUGGACAUGUAAAUGUUGCAGGGAAGUUUCUUGUAGGAAGAAACAUGAAAAAUGUAUCAGCUGAUGGUGACCAUACAGCAAGAAAUGUAACUUUAAGGAUUAAGCCUAUGUCUAAAGAAAACAAGUAGCUUUUAUGCAUGGUUACACUUGGUUUCUAGGAAGUUGGCGUGGGUAAGGAUGCGGUCCUGUCUGAGCUUUUUAGCUCCUGUAUAAACAUUUCUUACUGUCUUAUGGACUGAAGGAUGGAAAUGGUAUGUCAUUUAUUAAAUAGAAAAAAAACCUGACUGCACGUGCAGUCUUCUGCCUGAAAAGUCACGUGGGCAGCCUACUACACCAAAGAUUAAACAGUGAAUAUUAAUGCUAAUGCUGUAUAUUAGUGCUAAUGCUGUACCUCUUGCCUUCCAGCCACUGCUUUACAUCUUUUCUGUUAAGUUGUAGAAGCGCAAGUGAAAUUCUGCCUUCUGGGAAGCGGUGGAAUAAUCUGUGUGCUCAGUGCUAAAAAUACGGCGU
Molecule: long non-coding RNA, 877 nt
Organism: Oxyura jamaicensis (ruddy duck)
Lineage: Eukaryota; Metazoa; Chordata; Aves; Anseriformes; Anatidae
Exons: 2
Source: RefSeq, a predicted model, not a curated record